AUACGGAGGGUGCGAGCGUUAAUCGGAAUUACUGGGCGUAAAGCGUGCGUAGGCGGUUUGGCAAGUCAGGUGUGAAAGCCCUCGGCUCAACCGAGGAACUGCACUUGAAACUGCCAGACUGGAGUUCGGGAGAGGGUAGCGGAAUUCCGGGUGUAGGGGUGAAAUCCGUAGAUAUCCGGAGGAACACCGGUGGCGAAGGCGGCUACCUGGACCGAUACUGACGCUGAGGUACGAAAGCGUGGGGAGCAAACAGGAUUAGAAACCCUAGUAGUCC
This 274-nucleotide ribosomal RNA is filed under the name uncultured bacterium. RNAcentral describes it as "partial 16S ribosomal RNA". It matches the Rfam family "Bacterial small subunit ribosomal RNA", at positions 523 to 796 of the family's 1533-position model. The record is from RNAcentral.